GCUAGCGGGAGGCUAAUACAUGCAAGUCGAACGGUAACAGGGCAGAACUUCGGUUCAGCCGCUGACGAGUGGCGCACGGGUGAGUAACGCGUACAUAACCUGCCUUCAAGAGAGGGAUAGCCCUGGGAAACUGGGAUUAAUACCUCAUGGUAUUGCUAAGUCGCAUGGCUGUGCAAUUAAAGUUUCGGCGCUUGAAGAUGGAUGUGCGUGCCAUUAGCUAGUUGGUAAGGUAACGGCUUACCAAGGCAACGAUGGCUAGGGGGCGUGAGAGCGUGACCCCCCACACGGGUACUGAGACACGGACCCGACUCCUACGGGAGGCAGCAGUAAGGAAUAUUGGACAAUGGAGGCAACUCUGAUCCAGCCAUCCCGCGUGCAGGAUGACUGCCCUACGGGUUGUAAACUGCUUUUAUUUGGGAAGAAACUUGUUUAUUUACUGAACAGUUGACGGUACCUUAUGAAUAAGCACCGGCUAACUCCGUGCCAGCAGCCGCGGUAAUACAGAGGGUGCAAGCGUUAUCCGGAAUCACUGGGUUUAAAGGGAGCGUAGGCGGCAUGAUAAGUCAGAGGUGAAAGGCUGUAGCUUAACUAUGGAAUUGCCUUUGAUACUGUUGUGCUUGAAUCGAGUUGAGGUCAGCAGUAUGUGACAUGUAGCGGUGAAAUGCAUAGAUAUGUUAUAGAAUACCAAUUGUGAAGACAGCUGGCUGGACUUGUAUUGACGCUGAGGCUCGAAAGCGUGGGGAGCAAACAGGAUUAGAUACCCUGGUAGUCCACGCCCUAAACGAUGUUUACUCGAUGUUGGCUUAUAAAGUCAGCGUCCAAGGGAAACCCAUUAAGUAAAACCACCUGGGGAGU
Molecule: ribosomal RNA, 855 nt
Filed under: uncultured organism
Description: bacterial SSU rRNA
Rfam family: Bacterial small subunit ribosomal RNA
Source: RNAcentral